Molecule: ribosomal RNA, 433 nt
Filed under: uncultured bacterium
Lineage: Bacteria
Description: partial 16S ribosomal RNA
Rfam family: Bacterial small subunit ribosomal RNA
Source: RNAcentral
AGCGAACGCUGGCGGCAGGCCUAACACAUGCAAGUCGAACGAACUCUUCGUAGUUAGUUGCUGACGGGUGAGUCACACGUGGGAACGUGCCUUUUGGCUCGGGAUAACUCUGUUAAACUUGUGCUAAUAUCGAAUGUGCUCUGCUGGUGAAAGAUUCAUCCCCCUUAUAGGGGCCCGCGUUUGAUUAGCUAGUCGGUGAGGUAACGGCGGAUCACGGCUACGAUCAGUAGCUGGUCUGAGAGCAUGGCCAGCCACACUGGGGCUGAGAAACGGCCCAGAAUACUACGGGAUGCAGGAGUGGGGAAUCUAGCGAAAUGGGCGAAAGGCUGACGCAGCCAUGCCGGGUGAAUGAUGAAGGUCUUAGGGUAGUAAAAUUCUUUAACCGGGGACGAUAAUGACGGUACCCGGAGAAGAAGCCCCGGCUAACUUCGUG